GAUGAACGCUGGCGGCGUGCCUAAUACAUGCCAGUCGAGCGAACAGACGAGGAGCUUGCUCCUCUGACGUUAGCGGCGGACGGGUGAGUAACACGUGGAUAACCUACCUAUCAGACUGGGAUAACUUCGGGAAACCGGAGCUAAUACCGGAUAAUAUAUUGAACCGCAUGGUUCAAUAGUGAAAGACGGUUUUGCUGUCACUUCUAGAUGGAUCCGCGCCGCAUUAGCUAGUUGGUAAGGUAACGGCUUACCAAGGCAACGAUGCGUAGCCGACCUGAGAGGGUGAUAGGCCACACUGGAACUGAGACACGGUCCAGACUCCUACGGGAGGCAGCAGUAGGGAAUCUUCCGCAAUGGGCGAAAGCCUGACGGAGCAACGCCGCGUGAGUGAUGAAGGUCUUCGGAUCGUAAAACUCUGUUAUUAGGGAAGAACAAAUGUGUAAGUAACUAUGCACGUCUUGACGGUACCUAAUCAGAAAGCCACGGCUAACUACGUG
RNAcentral lists this ribosomal RNA (497 nucleotides) under uncultured bacterium. Its description in RNAcentral is "partial 16S ribosomal RNA". It matches the Rfam family "Bacterial small subunit ribosomal RNA", at positions 28 to 507 of the family's 1533-position model. The record is from RNAcentral.